This 459-nucleotide ribosomal RNA is filed under the name uncultured bacterium. RNAcentral's name for it is "partial 16S ribosomal RNA". It matches the Rfam family "Bacterial small subunit ribosomal RNA", at positions 338 to 795 of the family's 1533-position model. The record is from RNAcentral.
CCUACGGGAGGCAGCAGUGAGGAAUAUUGGUCAAUGGGCGGGAGCCUGAACCAGCCAAGCCGCGUGAGGGAAGAAGGUACAGCGUAUCGUAAACCUCUUUUGUCAGGGAACAAAGGCGGGGACUAGUCCCCGGAUGAGGGUACCUGAAGAAAAAGCAUCGGCUAACUCCGUGCCAGCAGCCGCGGUAAUACGGAGGAUGCGAGCGUUAUCCGGAUUUAUUGGGGUGAAAGGGUGCGCAGGCGGCCUGUUAAGUCAGCGGUAAAAGCCCGGGGCUCAACCCCGGCGAGCCGUUAAGACUGGCGGGCUUGAGUUGGAGAGAAGUACGCGGAAUGCGCGGUGUAGCGGUGAAAUGCUUAGAUAUCGCGCAGAACCCCGAUUGCGAAGGCAGCGUACCGGCUCCACACUGACGCUGAGGCACGAAAGCGUGGGUAUCGAACAGGAUUAGAUACCCCAGUAGUC